AAUAAUAAUAAUAAUAAUAAUUCACCUCUCAAAAUGGUCGAAGAUUCCUGUUCAACCCAUUAACAUUAGAUAAAAACCCAACCAAGUCCUGCCUGUACGGCAGGAAGGACCGUCGUUUAUCCUCCUCCUUGAGGGCUCUGCCCUUCGCGUAAUGCUCUUUAAUCUUAUCUUUCUCUUUGUUCUCUUUACAAGCUUCAUCUUCCAUUACUCUUUCGCUGCUCUUCUUUGCUGGCGUCAAGAACACGAAGUUAUCCUUUCCAUCGCUGUUACUUCUGUAAAGCAAGUCUCGAAACUUCCAUCUCUUCGAAGACCCAGUGGAACUGCUCUUCUUGCACGUUCCGGGGGAUUCCUUUCCCUUCUUUGGAGUCCACACGCAGUAAGUCCCAGCCGGCACGUUUUCCAGGUCGUCGGCCUCCGAAGAGGAGCAAGACGUCGUUUCUUGCUCUUCGCUGAAGAGUUUCCUCAACGGUAAUCUGUUGCGUUUGGCGGUUUGGGAUUGGUCGGAGACAGUGGAUGCUGGUUUGGAUAAUUCUUCUCCAUCCAUGAGCAAAUCGGUGUUAAAUAAAGGAUAGAUUGGCCUUAUCUGUCCGUUAUAGAAGAUCUCAUCAGCCGGAAUAGGCGACGCGUCCUGCUCUGUACACACAAUUGCAAACUCGAACUCUUCCUCGUCAUCAUCAUCAUCUUCAUCGUCGUCGUCGGCUCCGAGUUUCUUGUGGUCUUCUCGUUUUUGCAUUGAUGGUGGGAAAUGUUGCUUUGUUUUCCAAGAGAAACAGUUAGAGUCAUCAUUAGAGAAUUCUUGGGUGACUCUAGCUGCAAUCUCAGCAAGCUUCCCAGAAGAAUAAGAGUUGAAGCUGGGGGAGCUUGGAGAGAGGGCGAUGAGUGAUGCCUGCAUCUGCAGCAGCUUUUCAAUGGCGAUACACAAAUUUUGGUGUAUUCUUUGAGAGAGAAAUAGUG
This 954-nucleotide unclassified non-coding RNA is filed under the name Hevea brasiliensis (rubber tree). Lineage: Eukaryota; Viridiplantae; Streptophyta; Magnoliopsida; Malpighiales; Euphorbiaceae. The record is from RNAcentral.